UGGGUAACCUGCCCUGUACACACGGAUAACAUACCGAAAGGUAUGCUAAUACGAGAUAAUAUGCUUUUAUCGCAUGGUAGAAGUAUCAAAGCUUUUGCGGUACAGGAUGGACCCGCGUCUGAUUAGCUAGUUGGUGAGGUAACGGCUCGCCAAGGCGACGAUCAGUAGCCGACCUGAGAGGGUGAUCGGCCACAUUGGAACUGAGACACGGUCCAGACUCCGUAGGAG
RNAcentral lists this ribosomal RNA (228 nucleotides) under uncultured bacterium. Its description in RNAcentral is "partial 16S ribosomal RNA". It matches the Rfam family "Bacterial small subunit ribosomal RNA", at positions 118 to 347 of the family's 1533-position model. The record is from RNAcentral.